RNAcentral lists this long non-coding RNA (1562 nucleotides) under Olea europaea subsp. europaea. Lineage: Eukaryota; Viridiplantae; Streptophyta; Magnoliopsida; Lamiales; Oleaceae. The record is from RNAcentral.
CCAAUGCUUAUACCAUCAAUGGUCAACCUGGUGAUCUUUACAACUGCUCUAAAAAAGGUAUAACUUGACAUUUAUUCUUCCAUUCAAAAUCACGAAAAUAAAUAGUUUCUCUUCCUAAUCAGUCUUUAAGUUAGUCACUUUUCGACAAAAGACAAACAAAUUGACUAUAAUGUCUGAUCCUAUUCUGAUGCAGAUACAAUAGUAGUUUCAGUGAAUUCUGGCGAAACAAAUCUCCUUCGAGUCAUCAACGCUGCACUCAACCAACAACUUUUCUUUAAAAUAGCCAACCACAAGCUCACAGUUGUUGGUGCCGAUGCUUCUUAUCUCAAACCCUACACCACCUCAGUUCUCAUGCUCGGACCAGGCCAGACGACCGAUGUCCUGAUAACUGCCGAUCAGUCCCCAGCCAAGUACUACAUUGCAGCGCGUGCCUACGCCAGUGCUCAAGGUGCACCAUUUGAUAAUACUACCACUACAGCCAUUCUAGAAUAUGAGACUGCCCCUUGCCUAGCUAAAUGCACCUCGACCAAGCCAGUUAUGCCAUCUCUACCUGCAUUUAACGACACUGCCACUGCAACUGCCUUUACGAAAAGCUUGAAAAGCCCAAGAAAAGUCGAAGUACCCACAGAAAUUGAUGAGAAUCUCUUCAUUACCGUCGGUUUAGGACUCAACAAUUGCCCCAGAGGUGCCAGACGUAGAAAUUGUCAAGGACCAAAUGGAACUCGAUUCACUGCCAGCAUGAACAACGUAUCUUUUGUGCUUCCAUCGAACUUUUCCCUGCUGCAGGCACAUCAGCAGCGUAUACCUGGAGUAUACACAACUGAUUUUCCAGCAAAUCCACCUCGGAUAUUUGAUUAUACUGGUAAUGUAAGCCGGUCACUAUGGCAACCCGCUCGCGGUACUAAGGUAUACAGAUUAAAGUAUGGAGCAAGAGUUCAAAUAGUGUUGCAGGGAACAAGUAUCUUCACAGCAGAGAACCAUCCAAUUCAUCUCCAUGGAUAUGACUUCUAUAUCCUUGCUGAAGGAUUUGGAAAUUUUAAUCCAAAAAGAGAUACAGCCAAAUUCAAUCUCGUUGAUCCACCACUACGAAAUACAGCUAGUGUACCUGUUGGUGGAUGGAGCGUGAUUAGAUUUGUCGCUGACAAUCCAGGUGAGAACUAACAUAAAUAAUCAUACUCAUAUUCAUUUUAUAAAUAUGCCAUUAUUCUCAUAUCUGCAAAUUGAUAUGUUAAAUAGGAGUAUGGUUAAUGCACUGUCACUUGGAUGUUCACAUCACCUGGGGUUUGGCAAUGGCUUUCUUGGUGGAAAAUGGAGUGGGAGAAUUACAAACGUUAGAGCCACCUCCUGCUGAUCUUCCCCUCUGUUAGUACCAUCAAUAAGGAGAUUCAAUAGAGUUUUGCAUUUCUGCAAACUGCGGACAAGCUUUUAUUUUUUCUUACUUUAUUUGUUCAAUUUCUUGGUUAUACAUGACCGGUUCACAAAAGACUGUGUAACAUUUAGUUUCCGUGGCACAAUCUAGUGUUCAACCGAUCAUGUUCUUUUGAUGGUAGCUGUUGUGUUUU